This 888-nucleotide ribosomal RNA is filed under the name Calonectria colhounii. RNAcentral describes it as "eukaryotic LSU rRNA". It matches the Rfam family "Eukaryotic large subunit ribosomal RNA", at positions 58 to 978 of the family's 3401-position model. Lineage: Eukaryota; Fungi; Ascomycota; Sordariomycetes; Hypocreales; Nectriaceae. The record is from RNAcentral.
AAAGAAACCAACAGGGAUUGCCCUAGUAACGGCGAGUGAAGCGGCAACAGCUCAAAUUUGAAAUCUGGCCCUCGGGUCCGAGUUGUAAUUUGUAGAGGAUGCUUUUGGUGAGGUACCUUCCGAGUUCCCUGGAACGGGACGCCAUAGAGGGUGAGAGCCCCGUCUGGUUGGAUACCGAGCCUCUGUAAAGCUCCUUCGACGAGUCGAGUAGUUUGGGAAUGCUGCUCUAAAUGGGAGGUAUAUGUCUUCUAAAGCUAAAUACCGGCCAGAGACCGAUAGCGCACAAGUAGAGUGAUCGAAAGAUGAAAAGCACUUUGAAAAGAGAGUUAAAAAGUACGUGAAAUUGUUGAAAGGGAAGCGCUUAUGACCAGACUUGGGCUUGGUUGAUCAUCCUGGGUUCUCCCUGGUGCACUCUUCCAGUUCAGGCCAGCAUCAGUUCGCUGCGGGGGAUAAAAGUUUUGGGAAUGUGGCUCCCUCGGGAGUGUUAUAGCCCAUUUCAUAAUACCCUGCUCCGGACUGAGGUUCGCGCAUCUGCAAGGAUGCUGGCGUAAUGGUCAUCAGCGACCCGUCUUGAAACACGGACCAAGGAGUCGUCUUCGUAUGCGAGUGUUCGGGUGUUAAACCCCUACGCGUAAUGAAAGUGAACGCAGGUGAGAGCUUCGGCGCAUCAUCGACCGAUCCUGAUGUUCUCGGAUGGAUUUGAGUAAGAGCAUACGGGGCCGGACCCGAAAGAAGGUGAACUAUGCCUGUAUAGGGUGAAGCCAGAGGAAACUCUGGUGGAGGCUCGCAGCGGUUCUGACGUGCAAAUCGAUCGUCAAAUAUGGGCAUGGGGGCGAAAGACUAAUCGACCCUUCUAGUAGCUGGUUUCCGCCGAAGUUUCCCUCAGGA